UACGAAGGGAGCUAGCGUUGUUCGGAAUCACUGGGCGUAAAGCGCACGUAGGCGGAUGUGUCAGUCAGGGGUGAAAUCCCGGAGCUCAACUUCGGAACUGCCUUUAAGACUGCAUCGCUUGAAUCCGGGAGAGGUGAGUGGAAUUCCUAGUGUAGAGGUGAAAUUCGUAGAUAUCCGGAAGAACACCAGUGGCGAAGGCGGCUCACUGGACCGGUAUUGACGCUGAGGUGCGAAAGCGUGGGGAGCAAACAGG
Molecule: ribosomal RNA, 253 nt
Filed under: uncultured bacterium
Lineage: Bacteria
Description: partial 16S ribosomal RNA
Rfam family: Bacterial small subunit ribosomal RNA
Source: RNAcentral